Molecule: unclassified non-coding RNA, 254 nt
Filed under: Hevea brasiliensis (rubber tree)
Lineage: Eukaryota; Viridiplantae; Streptophyta; Magnoliopsida; Malpighiales; Euphorbiaceae
Source: RNAcentral
GUCCCCUAUGAAAAUCUUACCCAUCUAAAGAGCACGUAGACCUUCUCACGAGAGCUACAAAACAACCAAAAAAUUAAAUCACACCUAAUGCUUUCCUGAAGUCUAGUUCGACCUCUUUCACUUGAUAGAUUUCCCCAAAGACAUCCUUCUCUACCCCGCCACCAAUCAAAAUCCCCUAGUGAGGAGCCCAGAGGUGGUCAGUUGCCAUGUCAAUUACACAAACUAGUGGAUGAUUUCUGCCUCCCUUACUCCUU